Molecule: long non-coding RNA, 1216 nt
Filed under: Struthio camelus australis
Lineage: Eukaryota; Metazoa; Chordata; Aves; Struthioniformes; Struthionidae
Description: lncRNA (ENSSCUG00000002010.1)
Source: RNAcentral
AUUCUUUAAAACAAAGCUAUCCCAAAUUGUGGAAAAAAACUUUCUAGAAAGUUCAUUUUUCCUCCCAGGAAAUUCCAAUCUAUCCAGCUAUCAUCUAUGCUCACUUUAAAAAGGUCAUACAUAUGUAAGUUGUAUUCUAGACAGAAUAAUGUAUUAGGAAAUGUUUAGUUUUUUUAAAUAAAAUAUUUCAGAAUUUCAGAUUAAUAGCUUUCUACUUUAGUUGUAGUGACUUCAAUACAUGUAUCCGAGUUUCUAUUCAGGAUGCUAAUAGCAAAACCCAAGUAGCAACAUAUCUAUGAACUGCCAUUCUACUAUGUGUAAAUACACACUAUAUUUUCUUAUGAUCCAUGGUCAUAGCCUUUCAAGUUAUUUGUGAUGAGCAUGUUUGCAUUAUAAAAGGUUGCAUUUUCAUAUGCUUUUAAAAUUGUGUUGAAAUUAAAUUAGGUGAAAUGGUUCAUUAGCAGUCAUGAUGGAAAUGAUCGUUUGCAUGAUUUUUUUUCUGGUUUCACAGAGAGCAUGCAUAAUUUUUGAUGGAUUUCAUAGACUCAAAUAAUUUAUAAGUUUUUAUAAAGUAAUCCCAAGUUUAAUGUAAUUAUUUCUGAUUAUUUCAAAUUUUUUGCUUCCAGGUAUCAAUACUGAAGUAGACUUUUGUCUCCUCUACUAGCAGUGGUUCGGGCAGUGUUGAGCUCCCAGUCAUAUAAAGGAGUAGAGGCUUCUGCUUUCUCCCCAUCACAGUUGCAUCCAUUCCUUUGCCUGUUACUACAUAUUUUGAGAUACUCUAAUGAAAUUCAAAUAAAUUUAGAGUGCUGCUGGGCAACUGUAUACGUUGUGUAAAAAUACAUUCCUCUGUCGUCUUCUGACCCAGGAGAUACAUCGCUAACAGAUUACGAAUCGAAGAUGAAGAUCCACACCUUGACUGUGAUGGUUGAAUACUUCCUAUUAGCUCCGCUAACUCAGAGGAAAACACAUGCUUCUCCAUUUACUUUACCAGAUCCCUACGAAACACAAAUUCAUAACCUUUAUUCUCAUUUUUAUGACUUUCCAUAGCAGACUACGUUAAAGAAUACUUUUUUCUUGGAAGAUACCAUCUCCCUUUAUGUUUUCAUUACAUAGAUGUGCAAAUGGCAAACUUUUCUUAGCAGCUGGCUCAAAAGCGUAGACCCCUCCCUGGCGCAAUAAGAAUGGCCUCAUCAUCUUCUGUGCAAACUGCUAGAAG